RNAcentral lists this ribosomal RNA (591 nucleotides) under Candida albicans. RNAcentral's name for it is "eukaryotic LSU rRNA". It matches the Rfam family "Eukaryotic large subunit ribosomal RNA", at positions 65 to 669 of the family's 3401-position model. Lineage: Eukaryota; Fungi; Ascomycota; Pichiomycetes; Serinales; Debaryomycetaceae. The record is from RNAcentral.
CCAAAGGGGGAUGCCUCAGGUAGCGGCGAGUGAAGCGGCAAAAGCUCAAAUUUGAAAUCUGGCGUCUUUGGCGUCCGAGUUGUAAUUUGAAGAAGGUAUCUUUGGGCCCGGCUCUUGUCUAUGUUCCUUGGAACAGGACGUCACAGAGGGUGAGAAUCCCGUGCGAUGAGAUGACCCGGGUCUGUGUAAAGUUCCUUCGACGAGUCGAGUUGUUUGGGAAUGCAGCUCUAAGUGGGUGGUAAAUUCCAUCUAAAGCUAAAUAUUGGCGAGAGACCGAUAGCGAACAAGUACAGUGAUGGAAAGAUGAAAAGAACUUUGAAAAGAGAGUGAAAAAGUACGUGAAAUUGUUGAAAGGGAAGGGCUUGAGAUCAGACUUGGUAUUUUGCAUGCUGCUCUCUCGGGGGCGGCCGCUGCGGUUUACCGGGCCAGCAUCGGUUUGGAGCGGCAGGAUAAUGGCGGAGGAAUGUGGCACGGCUUCUGCUGUGUGUUAUAGCCUCUGACGAUGCUGCCAGCCUAGACCGAGGACUGCGGUUUUUAACCUAGGAUGUUGGCAUAAUGAUCUUAAGUCGCCCGUCUUGAACCACGGACCCA